CCGUGAAGAUCGGCACACUGUUCCUGCGGUUAACAGAUAUUGACGCUGAUCGCAUUCUUCUUCCAGUUUCAGUCAACGUUAAAAUGAAGGUUCUGUGCGUAGUUGUACUUUGCCUCGCCGCAACAUUCGCCUCCGACAAGUCCAGACCACAUUUUUGAUCGCAGAAGGGACGCAGAAAUGACGCCGUCCAGCAUGAAUGGGCCUCAAGGUCGCAGGAUAAAAAUGAUUGAAGAGCAGGAGCAAUAAGUUUCUUUGACAAAAAAA
Lingula anatina is the source of this 264-nucleotide long non-coding RNA. The record is from RefSeq and is a predicted model, not a curated record. NCBI's taxonomy places the organism in Eukaryota, Metazoa, Brachiopoda, Lingulata, Lingulida, Lingulidae.